Non-coding RNA from Anas platyrhynchos (mallard), 2562 nucleotides. Lineage: Eukaryota; Metazoa; Chordata; Aves; Anseriformes; Anatidae. The record is from RefSeq and is a predicted model, not a curated record.
CAGGCUGGAGGGGGCUUUGGGCAACCUGGUCUGGUGGGAGGUGUCCCUGCCCAUGGCAGGGGGAUGGAACCAGGUGAUGUUUAAGCUUUCUUUUAACCCCAACCAUUACAUGGUUCUGUGAUUCUUGACAGCGUAUCAUGUUCAAGAUAUUGAGCAAGCCAUGAUAAAUUUGUAUUUCUAUUUAGUAUUUUGUAAAAUGUAUAUUCCUAAAAUUCUAGUUGCAUUUACAGUGAAAAUUAAAAUACUUUGAAUUGAUAGUCUCAUACAGAAUUAUUUCUUCCACCCAAAUGGAGAACCAUUCUCCUGCAAAAGCAUAGCUAUGUGCAAGCAAAUUUCUCACUUUCAGGGAGCAUGUAUGAUUGUGUUAGCAUCAUUUGCACCUUGCAUAGCAUCCUCCUGCAGGUCAGAAAGUUCAUUGUGAGUAGCAAUAGAUUGCAUUUUGGGUAUCCGAGAUGCUCCCAAAACUUUGUGGUUGCUUUAUGGUAACUGCAUACGUCUAUAUAUCUGAGCUUUUACUGCACAGAUAUUGAGUUAAAAAAAAUAAAACAUGUAAUGAAAUCAUUUGCAUGAGUGGUAGAAAUUCCCAGGAAAUAUUAAAAAAAAAAAAAAUCCUACUGGACUUCAUAAAUAGCUUAGAGUAGAUGAGUACAAUCUGAUGUACAGAAGAGAGAUGUUUCCAAUUCGAGAAAAAAAUCCCAUUUAAGGAAUUUAAUGUAAUUUAGGAAACUAUGAUAUGCUUUGAUCAUCCCUUAUUGAACUUGUUACAGAGAGAAAACAUGUUAUCUUUCAGCAGCUUGCUGAAAGUGGGCCCAUUUCUACUUUCAUGACAGUGGGGCAGGGGAUGGUUCUGCUCUGGAAAGGAAGGGGAGGGAGGGAAGUUGGAAUAGGGAUGAGGAAAGGCAAAAACAAAGGACUUUGUUCCUGCUGGACAUGCAGCCAGGCAGAGUUUGCAAAUGCACUCUUGUUUCUAUACACUAUGAGCUAUUGUGCUAUGAACAAGCAUACUACAAUACCAAGUGAUUCAGGUUCUGGACACUGGUGGACAUUUUGCUGCUGGAAAGUUGUAAAAUUAGUCACUUGUUCAGCUGCAAGAACAACAGCAUUAAAAUGUUUCAUCUUAUAAAAACUAGUAGCAAACUAAAAUACUAAAAACUGUGCCUGUCCUUCAAUUCAAGCUGAACUUCCAGAGCUUGAACUUGAAGACGGUGACAGGAUUUGCCCUUUUUCUAUACAGUUUCCAGAAGGACAAGAUAUAAUUCUUUCCUCAGAUGGCACAAAUAUGGAACUAAACUGUCACAUUGGCUUCAGAUCAUCUAGGUCAAUUUCAUCUUUAGGGAGCAUAUUCUUCACUGAUGAAGAAGAACAAAACAGGCAAGGAAGAAGAGGAGGUGAAGUGGGAAUUUACAGAAAGAGCGUAAGCUAUGGCUUUGCUCCUCUGUGACUUCAAGGCUGUUUUUGUUAGUGGCAAGGAAACUCUUGCAUGCCUAGGCAGAACAAAAAAUGGCCAGGGAUACAGAUAUUCUUAAAGAACAAGAUAGGUGUAUGGACUAGAAUGUACUAACAACCCCGUAUUUUGGGGCAGGAAGAAUCAGGAACUAGCCCACUCCUUUUGCUACAAUAUUGGAAUCUGCUGAGGUAAAGGUACAUCCAGGUGCAUUCUCAAUACUUACAGCUCUUGUAUAGUUUGCAGCUGAACACAUCAAAUUAGAGCUAAUGAAGAAGUUACUGUCCUCAGUAGGACUGGACUGUGAAAGCCCCUAUCCUGAUGUAUAUUUUACUUUAACUGGAGUAGAAGAUUCAAAACACUAUGACUAGUGUCUUCCCAAACCCUGUGUUACCCACAGAGAGAAGCAUAUGCAGAAGGUGCUAUUGAAAUUAGUCUUAAAAAAAAAAAAAAGCAUUACUUUCAACAAGCAACAAAAAAUAACCAAGUAAAGCUAGAUGGUCUCUUGGCUCCACCCUUGUGAAGUGAAACCUGCCAGGUGUGGAUCAUUUGACUUUUGGUAUAUAGGAAGCCUGAGGACUUGUGGGGAAUUGCCUUCCUGGUGGGGAGUUUGAGGCUCAGGUUCUCUAGGGUGCUUUUCUGCUGUUGUGGUGAAGCGGAUUCAGUGUUCCCUGGUGGGCUGCUUUUUCUUCACGUUUUCUCCCAUCUCUGUGAAAUAGUUUCAGUGACUCUAUGAGUUAGCGAUGUUGUUGUUGCCCUCUCAGUGUGGUGAGACCCUGGUGGUGCAAAGUCACUGUGAAGCAGUGUGGAAGUGACUCAAGUUCAGGAGCUGGCAGUGAAAUUACUUCCGUGGCUUCUAAGCUCCCUUUCAAGCUCUUCCAAAUAUAAUGAUAAUGAAAGCUAAGAAGAAAGCCCCACCAACUCAGAAGCUCAAGUGCUUACAGGCCUGCGUCUCGGCUGUGGAGAAAGAUUUGGAAGAUCGCGCCGAGGUCACAUCGCGGAGGUUCCCGCGCCGAGGUGUCGUGGUUUAACCCGGCCGGCAGCUAAACACCACGCAGCCGUUCGCUCACCCUCCCCCCUCCCUCUCUGGGACGGGGGAGAGAAAUGGAAAGUGAAGC